AUACGUAGGGGGCGAGCGUUGUCCGGAAUGAUUGGGCGUAAAGGGCGCGUAGGCGGCCCGGUAAGUCUGGAGUGAAAGUCCUGUUUUUAAGAUGGGAAUUGCUUUGGAUACUGUCGGGCUUGAGUGCAGGAGAGGUAAGUGGAAUUCCCAGUGUAGCGGUGAAAUGCGUAGAGAUUGGGAGGAACACCAGUGGCGAAGGCGACUUACUGGACUGUAACUGACGCUGAGGCGCGAAAGUGUGGGGAGCAAACAGGAUUAGAUACCCUGGUAGUCCACACUGUAAACGAUGAAUACUAGGUGUAGGGGGUAUCGACUCCCUCUGUGCCGCAGUUAACACAAUAAGUAUUCCGCCUGGGGAGUACGGCCGCAAGGUUGAAACUCAAAUGAAUGGACGGGG
RNAcentral lists this ribosomal RNA (397 nucleotides) under uncultured bacterium. RNAcentral's name for it is "partial 16S ribosomal RNA". It matches the Rfam family "Bacterial small subunit ribosomal RNA", at positions 523 to 918 of the family's 1533-position model. The record is from RNAcentral.